AGGCAAAGUGAUUGGGCUAGACCU
Molecule: non-coding RNA, 24 nt
Filed under: Arabidopsis thaliana (thale cress)
Lineage: Eukaryota; Viridiplantae; Streptophyta; Magnoliopsida; Brassicales; Brassicaceae
Source: RNAcentral